AAAGGUGAGAACCCACAACUGUGUUUUGUUUGUUUUUUACGACAAGACGACACAAUUUGACGGAUAUCGUAGAAAGAUAAGAGAGAAAUACUAUUCUUUUGAAAUAGGAUGCCUGGUGAAAAGUGAAAAGCUACACACGCUAAGCGAAGGCGGUCAAGACAGACCGCCAGCAGCACUGCACUUUUGCCAGUGAGUGGUCGGAGCCAUUUUGAGUUUUUCUUUUUUGUCGGUUGGGAUAUUUCAAGCCUGUCACUCGAUACUUGAUGGCUAGACUUCCGUCUGUGCCCCCCAUACAUCGUUAAGUAGUCUCUCUAGCUUUAUUGCAUAGCCCUAUGACGACAUAAAACUCGUUUCUUUUCAUGUUUUUAAGAACCUUUUUUAAUUUAUGAUUGCAGGUCUGCACACAGCAGCCAUUGACGUCUGCUACUCUUCCUCGAUAUGUUUUUCAACUUAGGACUGUGACGUUUCUCGUAAACACAAUAGGAAAUACAUUCAUGUCCCCGACUACUGAAAGAGGAGGAGAAAACAAGUAAUUCUUCGCUUUACACCUGAAAAACACCGCAGACACAGAGCCAACAAGUUUCUCCUCGCUGCCGUAAUAUCCCUGCGGAGUUUGCGUGCUGGAUUUACACAAAAAUAAAACCGUUGUACAGUACGACAAUGAGGCAAGGUCAAUGGAGGAUUCCCCAGGUUUUUGCAUGGCCGGAAUAAGCUUGGGAAAAACAAAAGAAAGAAACUAUAAUACAUUUUUAUUUGUUCAACGUA
Molecule: long non-coding RNA, 765 nt
Organism: Daphnia carinata
Lineage: Eukaryota; Metazoa; Arthropoda; Branchiopoda; Diplostraca; Daphniidae
Exons: 2
Source: RefSeq, a predicted model, not a curated record